GAAGGACUAGCUCAGUGGUAGAGCAUCUGCCUUGCAUGCAGGAAGUCCUGGGUUCAAUCCCCGGCACCUCCA
Non-coding RNA from Lacerta agilis (Sand lizard), 72 nucleotides. The record is from the annotation of a RefSeq genome assembly. Lineage: Eukaryota; Metazoa; Chordata; Lepidosauria; Squamata; Lacertidae.